CUACGGGUGGCAGCAGCUGAGGAUCUUUUACAAUGCACGCAAGUGUGAUAAAGCGAGCCAGAGUGUUGUUCUUAGAACAACUUUUGUUUGCUGUAAAAAGGCAGACGAAUAAGGACUGGGUAAGACCGGUGCCAGCCGCCGCGGUAAUACCGGCGGUCCAAGUUGCAUCCAUUUUUAUUAGGUCUAAAACAUCCGUAGCUUGUUUUGUAAGUUUCUUGUGAAAUCUUAUGUCUCAAACAUGAGGCUUGCAAGAAAUACUGCAUUGCUAGAGACCGGAAGACGUAAGGAGUAUGAUUGAGGUAGCGGUAAAAUGCGUUAAUCUUAAUCAGACUAACAAUGGCGAAGGCACCUUACGAGUACGGAUCUGACAGUGAGGGAUGAAGGCUAGGGGCGCAAAACGGAUUAGAUACCCCAGUAGUC
Molecule: ribosomal RNA, 420 nt
Filed under: uncultured archaeon
Lineage: Archaea
Description: partial 16S ribosomal RNA
Rfam family: Archaeal small subunit ribosomal RNA
Source: RNAcentral